Molecule: ribosomal RNA, 455 nt
Filed under: uncultured bacterium
Lineage: Bacteria
Description: bacterial SSU rRNA
Rfam family: Bacterial small subunit ribosomal RNA
Source: RNAcentral
AGUGGCGCACGGGUGAGUAACGCGUGGAUAAUCUGCCCUUCAGACGGGAAUAACCCAUCGAAAGGUGGGCUAAUACCCGAUAAUACUGCAAGACCCCGGUUGAGCAGUCAAAUGAAGGCCUCUGCUUGCAAGCUUUCGCUGAAAGAUGAGUCCGCGUACCAUUAGCUAGUUGGCAGGGUAACGGCCUACCAAGGCGACGAUGGUUAGCUGGUCUGAGAGGAUGAUCAGCCACACUGGAACUGAGACACGGUCCAGACUCCUACGGGAGGCAGCAGUGAGGAAUCUUGCGCAAUGGGGGAAACCCUGACGCAGCAACGCCGCGUGAGUGAGGAAGGUCUUCGGAUCGUAAAGCUCUGUCGGAUGGGAAGAAAUGCAUGCGGGCUAAUACCUCGUAUGCUUGACGGUACCAUCAGAGGAAGCACCGGCUAACUCCGUGCCAGCAGCCGCGGUAAUAC